UGUUUAUGGCACUUUUAAAAUUCCAUACCCACCUUGUGUGCAACGUUUGAAUCUGCUCCGUGCGUCUCCCUCUUUUGGAGUGGGCCGCGGGGAGUAAGAUAUCUUUAAUCCAUUAAUCUGUUUUAGACCAGUUUUGUCUGAAGCAAUGUAUCAUUGAAUUGACCUAAUUCGAAAAUACAACUUUCAACAACGGAUCUCUUGGCUCUCGCAUCGAUGAAGAACGCAGCGAAAUGCGAUACGUAAUGUGAAUUGCAGAAUUCAGUGAAUCAUCGAAUCUUUGAACGCACAUUGCGCUCUCUGGUAUUCCGGAGAGCAUGCUUGUUUGAGUAUCUGUAAAACACCCUCAGCUCCUCUCGUUUCUCCUGUUAAAAGGGAAGGCGAGGGAACUGGACUUGAGUGAUCCCAACGGCAGUUUAAUUGUAAAAGAGAAAACCGCUGGCGGGUCGCUUGAAAUGCAGGUGCGGCUGGACACAUCUUCUGAGCUAUAAGCAUUACUUAUUUAAUCCCGUUAAACGGAUUAUUUCUAUUGCUGCAGCUAACAUAAAGGUUGAUUGUCCUUGUGCCCGACUGAUGCAGGAAAACAAAGAGACACGAUCUCUUUGUUCAACUCGAUCUCAAAUCAAGUAAGACUACCCGCUGAACUUAAGCAUAUCAAUAAGCGGAGGAAAAGAAACUAACAAGGAUUCCCCUAGUAACGGCGAGUGAAGCGGGAUGAGCUCAAAUUUGAAAUCUGGCUGGUUUACCAGUCCGAGUUGUAGUUUAAAGAAGCGUUUUCGGUGGCAGCCUGGGUAUAAAUCCUUUGGAACAGGGUAUCAUAGAGGGUGAGAAUCCCGUCUUUGACUCAGUGCGAUGUUACUAUGUGAUACGUUUUCAAAGAGUCGAGUUGUUUGGGAAUGCAGCUCAAAAUGGGUGGUAAAUUUCAUCUAAGGCUAAA
This 934-nucleotide ribosomal RNA is filed under the name uncultured fungus. RNAcentral's name for it is "eukaryotic LSU rRNA". The stretch from base 610 to 934 matches the Rfam family "Eukaryotic large subunit ribosomal RNA", at positions 1 to 320 of the family's 3401-position model. The record is from RNAcentral. Lineage: Eukaryota; Fungi.